This 1315-nucleotide unclassified non-coding RNA is filed under the name Leishmania donovani. Its description in RNAcentral is "gene:LdHU3.24.0580(CDS-product:ubiquitin-activati ng_enzyme_putative)". The record is from RNAcentral. Lineage: Eukaryota; Euglenozoa; Kinetoplastea; Trypanosomatida; Trypanosomatidae.
CUGGGCUGCGCGCUAUAGGCGGUGGAUGUCCACCCAUCGUACACGUUACAAGCGACUGACGGUUCUUGUUCGCAGCAUUAUCACUCAGCGUGGCAGCAUCCCCUUGUCGAGUGCAUAGGCGAUACACACGUACAUGUGUAGCUGGUUUCGAUGCUCAACUCGGCCCUCUACGAGCGCACGCAAAUCCUGAUUGGAGAUGACGGAAUUCGGUCGCUGCAGAACACGAAUAUCUUCCUCGCUGGCACAGGUGGCGUUGGCGGUCACUGCGCCGAGGCUCUUGUGCGGGCCGGCGUUGGCAGCAUCACCAUUGUCGAUUACGAUGUUGUGACUUCGUCAAACAAGAACAGGCAACUGAUCGCCCUUGAUAGCACGAUCGGCAAGAGCAAGGUGGAGGAGCUUGCGCGGCGCCUGCGGGACAUCAACCGGCACUGCAACAUCGUCGUCCUUGACGCCUUCAUCACAGCCGAAGACGUUGAGGAGGUGCUCUCGCGCCAGCGGUACGACUUCGUGGUGGAUUGCAUUGACAGCGUGACUUGCAAGGUGGCUCUUCUCGCUGCCGCAGUGAAGCUGAAAAUACGCGCCUACUCCUCCUGCGGCGCGGGCGGCCGGCUCGAUCCGUCGCUCGUCUCCAUCGGCGACCUGUUCUCGACGGAGAAUGACGGACUCGCGCGCGCGUGUCGCGCAGCAUUGCGCAAGCACGGCGUUGGGCCCGGUGACAUUACCGUCGUGCACAGCUCGGAGAAGGGUAUACCGCCACUGGAGCCACAGCGGCAGGAAGCCGGUGGCCGUGAUCGAUCCAUGAACGGGACGAUUAGCUACAUGCCACCUCUCUUUGGACUCAUGCUAGCGUCGGCGGUACUGCGGUGCGCGGUCGACCCGGCGGCACACGACGCCGAGGUGGAGCGACGACAGAAGCGUGAGCGCAAGGAGCAAAAACGGGCGCUCAAGAAGCGCCGCAAAGAGACGCCACCCACGACGUAGCCGGAAGGGGCGGUGAGUGUGCGGAUGACGGUAUUUCCGCCGCUGUGCCGACAUGGUCGGUGGGUAGGAGGGGCGGGGGCAGGGCAGAUGUCGCCGCUGAUGAGAUUGUCUGUGUUUGGGGAUUUAGUUUUUAUUGCCUUUUUCGGCUCACUUUUGAGCGGGCCUGCACGCGCGGGGCUAAUAAAACAAAGUCGCAUAAGAAUUCGUGCGUGCAUGGCCGAGGCAUGCCUGCGGACACAGACGCGCCCUCCAGUGUCGGAGGCGCAAGAGCAUGGGCUAUGCUGUGCUUGACGUACUGUAACAUAUAGAUGCAUACAGACUUGCGUAUGCAAAC